RNAcentral lists this ribosomal RNA (587 nucleotides) under uncultured bacterium. Its description in RNAcentral is "bacterial SSU rRNA". It matches the Rfam family "Bacterial small subunit ribosomal RNA", at positions 338 to 916 of the family's 1533-position model. The record is from RNAcentral.
CCUACGGGAGGCAGCAGUAGGGAAUCUUCCGCAAUGGACGAAAGUCUGACGGAGCAACGCCGCGUGAGCGAUGAAGGCCUUCGGGUCGUAAAGCCCUGUUGUCAGGGAAGAACAAGUACCGGAGUAACUGCCGGUACCUUGACGGUACCUGACCAGAAAGCCACGGCUAACUACGUGCCAGCAGCCGCGGUAAUACGUAGGUGGCAAGCGUUGUCCGGAAUUAUUGGGCGUAAAGCGCGCGCAGGCGGUUCUUUAAGUCUGAUGUGAAAGCCCCCGGCUCAACCGGGGAGGGUCAUUGGAAACUGGGGAACUUGAGUGCAGAAGAGGAGAGCGGAAUUCCACGUGUAGCGGUGAAAUGCGUAGAGAUGUGGAGGAACACCAGUGGCGAAGGCGGCUCUCUGGUCUGUAACUGACGCUGAGGCGCGAAAGCGUGGGGAGCGAACAGGAUUAGAUACCCUGGUAGUCCACGCCGUAAACGAUGAGUGCUAAGUGUUAGAGGGUUUCCGCCCUUUAGUGCUGCAGCAAACGCAUUAAGCACUCCGCCUGGGGAGUACGGCCGCAAGGCUGAAACUCAAAGGAAUUGACGG